This 301-nucleotide ribosomal RNA is filed under the name uncultured bacterium. RNAcentral's name for it is "partial 16S ribosomal RNA". It matches the Rfam family "Bacterial small subunit ribosomal RNA", at positions 509 to 807 of the family's 1533-position model. The record is from RNAcentral.
CAGCAGCCGCGGUAAAACGGAGGGGGCUAGCGUUGUUCGGAAUUACUGGGCGUAAAGCGCACGUAGGCGGCUUUGUAAGUCAGAGGUGAAAGCCUGGAGCUCAACUCCAGAACUGCCUUUGAGACUGCAUCGCUUGAAUCCAGGAGAGGUCAGUGGAAUUCCGAGUGUAGAGGUGAAAUUCGUAGAUAUUCGGAAGAACACCAGUGGCGAAGGCGGCUGACUGGACUGGUAUUGACGCUGAGGUGCGAAAGCGUGGGGAGCAAACAGGAUUAGAUACCCGUGUAGUCCCUGUCUCUUAUAC